UACGUAGGGGGCAAGCGUUGUCCGGAUUUAUUGGGCGUAAAGAGCGUGUAGGCGGCCCGGUAAGUCCGCUGUGAAAGUCCAGGGCUCAACCCUGGGAUGCCGGUGGAUACUGUCGGGCUCGAGUCCGGAAGAGGCGAGUGGAAUUCCUGGUGUAGCGGUGAAAUGCGCAGAUAUCAGGAGGAACACCAAUGGCGAAGGCAGCUCGCUGGGACGUGACUGACGCUGAGACGCGAAAGCGUGGGGAGCAAACAGG
Molecule: ribosomal RNA, 253 nt
Filed under: uncultured bacterium
Lineage: Bacteria
Description: partial 16S ribosomal RNA
Rfam family: Bacterial small subunit ribosomal RNA
Source: RNAcentral